AGAAUUCUAAAAAAAAAUGGCUGGAUGCUCGGCACGUGGAGGUCCGUCUUCUAAAGAAAUGGGACCCCACACUAAUGCCCAUGGGCAGUGCAUCGAAAUAUCUCUGAGCAAACCGUCAGCAAGCCAUCCAUUUUCUAGAAAGGAGGCCACACUUCCACGGCAAACCAUUGAGACAGGAAGCCCAUGUGGAUGCAGUGCUCAAGAUCUUAUAAGACUUAAAGGAGCAAUAAUUCAGAUCCAAGGAAGACAGUUGUGAUAAACACACCAAUAACAAACAAUACAAAUUGGAUUUCAGCUGUGGUGCCACAAUAGGCUUGUCUCCACAAAUCAAGCAUCAGCAUGAGAUAGCAGAUCUGUCCUUGGUGGUAGCUUUGCUUAAUCUGACACUCCACUACUAGGUCAUGAGAAUCAUACUCUCCUCAGUGGAACCUUCGCUUCAUUUGACACUCCACUACUAGCUACAAGCUUUUCAAUGAGAAUCAUGGUCUCCUCAGUGGAACUUUUGCUUCCUUUGACACUCCACUACUAGUUACAAGCUUGUCAUGAGGAUCAUGGUGUCCUCAGUGGAACCUUCGCUUCAUUUGACACUCCACUACUAGCUACAAGCUUGUGAUAAGAAUCAUACUCUCCUCAGGGGUGCCUUUGCUUCAUUUGACACUCCACUACUAGCUACAAGCUUGUCAUGAGAUUCAUGGUCUCCUUAGUGGUACCUUUGCUUCAUUUGACACUCCACUACUAGCUACAAACUUGACAUGAGAUUCAUGGUCUCCUCAGUGGUACCCUUGUUUCAUUUGACACUCCACUACUAGCUACAAACUUGACACGAGUAUCAUACUCUCCUCAAAGGUGCCUUUGCUUCCUUGACCUCCACUACUAGCCACAAGCUUGUCAUGCGAAUCAUAUUCUCCUCAGCGGUACCUUUGCUUCAUUUGAUACUCCACUACUAGCUACAAGCUUGUCAUGAGUAUUGUACUGUCCUCAGUUGUACCUGUGCUUCAUUUGACACUCCAGAUCACUGCAAACAUCCCAUGAGAACCAUACUGUCCUCAGUGGUACCUAUGCUUCAUUUGACACUCCACUACCAUGAGCUACCAGCUUCCUACCAAAGUCAUUUCAAUCUCCUGCUGUGGCUUUGAUGAAAGACUUUAUAUCAUGUCACCCCAUAAAGAGGUUUACUACAUGUAUCAGGAACUCUACCAACUGAAAGACAUUUGAUUUGAGUGAUGCAGAUAAAGGCACCAAAAAAGAGUUUUUAUGGAGAAAGGAUGUAAACAGUGGCAUAGCUUCAAAUGUUACCUGAAAGCAAACUGAAAGCAAAUAUGUUCCAUUUCCAGUCAAAAUGCCCCAUCCAAAUGAGUCCGUGAAAAAUGUCAAAUUUUCCAAUGAUUUCAGUCGACCAAAAUGGUUGACCUGUACCAUAAAAAGGGUAGCUUGGAUUCCACUGGUGUUCUUGGUUUGAAAUUGUCUCAAAAGUUGCCAGUUUGUGGGCAUUUCAAUAUUCACAGAGCUAAGCUACUGAAAUAAUGUAAGAUGCGCGGUUAAAGAAAUUAGGAUUUAUACAUUUAUGGCAAAUGUCCAGUGAGGUGGUUCAGCUUUGAAAGAUCCCUUGCGUUGUUUUCAUUAUCAGAGUGGUCUAAACUAAGACAAAAACAGUAUUUGUGCGUUUGAGAUAAACAUGACGUAAAAACUGAAAUUGCAUACCAUGAAAUUUGGAGUAGUCCAUGAUGCAAUAAAUGUACAGUAUGUACAUGUAUGCAUAUUUGCAUGAUGUAAAAAUACCCUGUAUUCACUCACGGUAGGAUCUUUCAAAAUUGAGCAAACCAAUCACAUUUUUUACAUGUAUGGAACUUACAUUUUGUCCUUUUCUAACCAGUCCUCACUUCCAGCCAGACUUUAAAGUUGAACAAAAGAAGAUAGCUUCACUCUGAUAAGAUAUCCAAUUUUUGUCUAAAUCAAACAUUUUGUCUCUGAGAACUUAAUUAAUACGGCUGUGCACAGAUUCUUCGAGUAAAGAUAACGGAUGCGUAUAAAUUCUGAGCUAAAAAACCUUUUUCAUCCAAAGCAUGAAUAUAUAUAUAUAUUUUUUCACUAGUCAGUUCAUAAAGAUAUUGUCUGAUCUCAUAAAAUCACUAAAUCCAAAUUUUUUGUUGUAGCAUUUUCAAAAGAAAGAAUCCUUUUAAAAUGAUCACCAAGUUUAUGUAAGUAUACAUGUGAGGGCUGGUUAUCUUAGGUUUGUUGUGUUUUGUUGAACUCAUUAGUUCCUGAAAGCCAGGUGAAAGAUGGGAAAUGGAUGUAAGUUUUGAAAGAAUUAAUGUAAAGAAGAUAAAUGUAUCUCUUCAGAUGCUUUCACUGAUCACCCUUUUAUUUGCAAUUUCAAUCAAGCAUUCAGGUAUAUUUCUUAAGCUUACAAACCUGCUCCCAAAAUUUGUAUGGAAACUGAAUGUUUUGUGAUAAGCCUUUUUUAAGAAAUAUGAAGUCCAUGUUUGCCAAUCCAAAGUACAUGUACAUGUAUGUAUUUUGGCUCACUUUAAGCUCUUAAAUUGUACUAUUCAAAGUACUUAAUCUUUAAAGGAGGUUUACCCAUCUCUCACCUGGUUUUAAUCUUGUAAUCAGCAUUGAUGACCAAAAACAAAAUGAGCAUCUUGACCAUUUUUCAUAGAUCAAAAAGUCAACCUUGUGUGCAGAAAUUUGGACCAAUUGUAUUUUGACAGUGAGAGCAGUUUUUGAGAGACGGAUAAAAGCAAAGUCAUUUAUUAUGAGUUGCUGGAUAUCCAAUUUAGCAUACCUUUCCAUCAUACUUUGACAAACCAAGAAGUUCAAACUUUGUCAGUAUUUGGCAUGUUUUAGAUUAACUUGAACUAGACAAUUAUUUGAAAACUACAGAUGACUGCAUUGUCAUUCAUCAGUGCUGAUUAUGCUUCAAAAGAUUACUUUUAUGAAAAAAUAAUUUAUUAACAAUAUUUACAUUUUUAUGUUUUAUCACCAGGCAAACCGAAAUAAAACCAAAGCCCAGCCACAUGCAGGCCCUCCUGGUGCGUGCACGUGUGUUCCCUGCCCGCAGACGCUGACAGGUUGGUGGUUGCCCGCUAUCUGCAUCGGCUUGUGAAUCGGCUGUUGGUGAUGUAUACAACCUCCCGAAAUCUUGUGAGUCUGGGUGAUUGUGGAUACCUCAGUAGACAGCAACAUGGUAAGGAUCCUCUGAACUUUGGCAAUUGGUCAAUUUGUCUACCAAGCAGAUGUUACAUGUCCACUGCUCCAGGGAUGGCAACCUGAGAGAACACUUCUGCGCCUGCUCUGCCAUUGCUCACUUGGCAAUUCCUAUGUUCUCGGACAUCGUGUUGUAAGAUCUCUGAAAAAAAUUGCAAAUGGUAAUUUUUGUGUGCUUCCUGAGAUAUUCUACAUGUCAAAGGAUACAGUGUCAGUAUUUUGGCCCAUGAAUUAUGGAAACCUCCAGAGUCAAACUUAUUACAUAGUUGGUUAUCUAACGAGUUGAAACAAAAACGAAGUCAAAUCAAAGUUGUUCCGGAAUAAAAAGUUUUGAAUGAAGCAGCUAAAAUGAUGCUGAAAAUUAGUAAAUAUUUGAGAAAAAAAAUGAAAACCUCUUGCAAAUCACGGCAGUCAUAGUUUUGGUAGCAUGCACAUAAAGUAAAUCUAUAAGCAAAUUUAGUUCUGUUGAAGUCACAAAACUGGCAUCAAACAUGUAUGUGAAAAACAAAAGGCAGAACCCUGUUUUUGAUACAGCAUGUUCCCUCAGUUUAAAAAGAAAAUCGUGUUAAAAAAAGAAAGUGGGAAAAAGUGCAGAUCUUUAGAAUGUGAGAUAUUUUAAAAGAAAUUGAUCUGUGCCACAGUCAAUUUCAAUGUUUAGCUGAUAUAUGAAAAGGAAGUUACGCAUGGAAACCCAGAAAAGGAAGGAGACAAACUCUUGUAACUUCUGCAGAGAAUUCAUGAUGUUUAAAGGAGAAGAACCAUGCUGUUAGACUGCUUAGUGGAUGAUGCAACCAGGCCAUUCAUUCACAUUGUAGAGAGGCUACACACUCAGACUUCAAAUCAGGAAGGAAAUAAA
Acanthaster planci (crown-of-thorns starfish) is the source of this 4063-nucleotide long non-coding RNA. RefSeq lists it as uncharacterized. Lineage: Eukaryota; Metazoa; Echinodermata; Asteroidea; Valvatida; Acanthasteridae. The record is from RefSeq and is a predicted model, not a curated record.